CAACAGGCAGCCUCAGCUGGCACAUUUUGAAGCAAUGCAUUGUUCAGAGCCCACUCCCAAGAGAGAGGUCAGUGUCUAUGAGAAAUAUACAGGACACAUCUUCAGCUGGUUGAGUUAGCACAGCAAUAGUGAGUAAGGAUGUGAACCCUUUAUAUGCUCUAACUAAAAUACAUUUGAACCUGAAUACACAAUUUUAUUUGUCAGUCAUUACUAUUUUUCCUUGGUGCCAUUGUAAGCAGGCUUGAGCUCACCCAGCACUGCCAGUGUAAAAGACUGGGAUGCUGAGAUGUCCCAGAUGGACUGCUGCAGCCCUGUUGUAAAACUCUAUAUAUAGACUUUUUCCAUUUUUCCAAAGAAAAUAUUUGGGACUGUUUUUAGAACCUCUCAGUCAGAGGGGUGGCACUGUCAGCCAUUGCAAGAACACCCCAGCAUCCUUUGUGGAGGUGCAGUUGCACAUCUCCUGCCAUUUCCUGAGACCUCUUCUGCUAGCAUCAAGCAAACAGCAGCUUCCUCCAGAUCCCAGCUGUCAGCGGAGCAUUUGCAAAACCCUUCCUCCAAAGCCUUUUAGCUGGUAGCAGGAACCUGAUCCCUUUAUACCUCCUUCAAGGCUCCACUCCUAAGAGGAAUAAAGAAUUAUAAUCCAACACUUCCUGGACACUUAAAGAAGCAUGUCUAGCACUUCUCUACCACUGAGACCUUCCUGUCAACAGCAGAAGAAGUUUCAUACUCCAACCUACCGUGAGAAUAAGUGAUGUGUUUCCAAUGCAGUACCAAAAUAAUGCUGCUGGAGUCUGGUGACAAAGUCCUAUGGACCCCUGAAAAGGUGAAUAUAAAUAUGGAAGUGAAAUAUGUUGCCAUGUAUGUCUCAUUGUAAAGACAAGGAAGCCCAAAGUUGCUGUGUUCAUUGUACAGUGCAGAUACAACAUAGGGCUGCAGUAAUGAUGAUAAUGGUAAAAAAAAGAGAUCCCAAGAUACUAUUGAGUGAAUCAAAAUAUCAGCAAUGGAUUUAGAACUCCAGAACUGAAUGGACCUGCUGAAUGUCUGUAUUUAUAUGCUCAGAGCAAGAAAUUGUACAUGAAAAAUACUGAAAAGGUUGCAGAAUUUGUGCUGGCUUUUUUUUCAGGUAAGCGUAAUGGACUAAACACUGGGUCUCUAUUUCAAAAAAUGCUUCUGCCUUUCAACAGAUGUUCAAGUCAAUCAGGCAGUAUGGAACAAGUGUUUUGAGUAUUUU
This is a long non-coding RNA of Oxyura jamaicensis (ruddy duck), 1231 nucleotides long. RefSeq lists it as uncharacterized. Lineage: Eukaryota; Metazoa; Chordata; Aves; Anseriformes; Anatidae. The record is from RefSeq and is a predicted model, not a curated record. The transcript has 3 exons.